AUGACUGAUGUUGAUCACGGUAUGUUGUUCUGUUCUGGCUAUUCUUGCCUCUGGGCGUUUCUCUGUUUUUCUUUCAGGUCAUUUGCAAAAAACCAUUCUCACCAACUUAGGGCUUUGCUUAUCCCCUUUGGCAGAAACUCGGUCGUGUAAGAAAGCCCAGAUUAUGAGGCUUGAAAUUCUAAUCAUGUAUUGCACCAAAAAGCAUAGCACAUGCAAGAUAUCAUGGGAUUGCUCUUUAAAUACAUUGACAUCUUACACCAGUCUGGCGUUUGCGAGUGGAUUUAUGACGAGAUUGCAGCUGUAAGGGAGACGAUUGUUGCACAAUCAAGAUAAGAUCUCUCCAAUGAGUUAUGUGGUCUCUAUAGCAUCAAAUAUGAAGAAUUUUUUUGGGUGUCAAAGAAAUUUGAAGGGGAAACUAACAUGGUCGAGCCAUGGUAUGCAACUGCAUAUUGCGUAGAUAAACUUACUGACUUGACAAUCCAGGAGUGGGUGCAGCGAGCUUCGAGUGAACAUCUUCGUUUGCCAGUGGCUAAUCAGUUUAUUGCCACUGACUUGCCCCUCAAGAAGACUGACAAGGUGGUCUGAUCAAUCUUAGGUCCAUUUGGCGUGCUUUUUGAACUAAUUCACCAUCUUGACAUUCAUAACAUUGGAUCAGGUCAUGUAUCCAGUGAUUGAACUUUCACACUUCUUGAGAUGUUGCCAUUUAUCUUACAUUGGCUUGAUAACAGGGUCUGCUAUUGACAUGAUGACCAGCACCAUAACUGUUGGUAGUCAAACCAACUGUUGCUCAUAAUGCUGAGGAGGAUUUAAUGCUGUAAAGAAUGAAAUUCGGGGUAGUCAAACCAGAAGGUGGCAAGCAAUUGGCAUCCUAAGGCAUGUUUUGUUCAGCUACUGUACCUUGGAGAUUAAAGAAACAUGCCAUUGACUUCUUGCUUUGCACCACAGAAGGAGAUAUCUCACAGGAGAGUGAGAGUGAAACUCUAGAUUUCUCAUCAUUUGUUCCUAGCCAUUUUGCUGCCUUGCAGUGCAAAAUCUUGGGAUUGACAACGUCAUCAUGUACACAUCGGAUGAUGUGCUAAGGAAGAAAGCUUUUGAUGUACUGGAAAGGGUUAGUGUUUU
Eucalyptus grandis is the source of this 1119-nucleotide long non-coding RNA. RefSeq lists it as uncharacterized. The transcript has 5 exons. NCBI's taxonomy places the organism in Eukaryota, Viridiplantae, Streptophyta, Magnoliopsida, Myrtales, Myrtaceae. The record is from RefSeq and is a predicted model, not a curated record.